Molecule: long non-coding RNA, 4005 nt
Organism: Gallus gallus (chicken)
Lineage: Eukaryota; Metazoa; Chordata; Aves; Galliformes; Phasianidae
Exons: 3
Source: RefSeq, a predicted model, not a curated record
GAAACCAAUUGCGAUUACGGGAAGGUUGAGGGGGGCAGUGCCUCAACUGCAAACCGAAACAAAGAAAGGAUUUGCUGGCUCUUCCCAAGGCGGUGCUGAAGACCCCACCAAAAGCAGAGCUCAAUGGCCACUAAAGGAGCUGCCUUCACCUACAGCACGGCUGGGCCGGGGGGCUGUGGGCCACGAGGGCCCAGUUGUGCCACACCUGCUGAUCGUGACAGCCAGGACUGUAGUGAAAUCCUACCUGCUGUCCCUUCCUGCCCUGUGUCUUAGCGCCCAUGGUGCAGGUGAGCGCCCACAGUCAGUGGGAGGAAGGGAACCCAGUGACAGCAAUGCUGGGAAGCUUCUGGUCUGCUUCCUCGGUGGCAUCGCUGCAAUGAAACCCUUGGGAGCACUGAGUGCACGGAACAAGGGCUGGGCUCUCCUGGGGAACUGCAGGCGGAUGGGAAACGUCUCCAAACCGGUCCAGCUCUCAGCGACGAGCCCUUCCCUCCCUUCCUAAUUGCCAUUCCUCCCGAUGGAGCCGAGCUGCCAGCAGGAAAUAAAACCACCAGGGCUUUUUUGCUUAACCCCCCCUGUCACGGUGCGUUUGCAGGUGGUGCCUUCCCAGCCCAGGAGAAAGGAAGCAAGCACAGCGGAUGCCUCAUCCAUAUGCACAGGACCGGCUCUCUCCAGCAUCUCCUCCUGCUUGGAUCACCUCUCUGUCGUGCACCGUGCUUUACACGGAGCGGGGAGCCGGCUCUGUCACUCCAGGAAGUCAGCAGACUUGCCUUGGCACUCCUGCUGGGGAAAGCUGGACUGAAACCUCCUCAGUCCUUCAGCCCGUCGGGUUUCUCUUCUGGAUCUCCAUCCCUGUGAACUCACACGCUCAUCCUGCAUUAUCCCAAGCACCAGUUUAAACCCUGCUUCCCUCCAUGGCAAAGCGAGGACCUCCGCCACUUCACAGAGGCGUUCCCAUGGUGGAUGCCAACCCCCUCUCCCCAGCCGCGCUGUAAAGGGAUUCGAUGCUGCUCUCUGCCCUGUAUGUAUGCUAAGGGCUGCUUUUUCUCCCAUGCCAACUGAGAAAUCGAUCGCUCGACAGGACAGAGCUGGGAAUGCACAGCUGAGUGGCACCCGCAAGUACCGUGUGGGUCUCCCCGUGGGGCAUCAGACAGGGUCUGAGCCUCCCCUGCCAUUCCUUCAGCUCAGAGAAGCCCUUUCUUUAGGGAUGGACCCCACAGAAGCAGCUCAGAGGGCUCUUGGACAAGCAGCCACCGACAGACCCGUGCCUGACGCAGCAUUUCAGAGCAGCCCAGCAAUGCAAGCGUUACUCCCCGUUGCCCUAAUUACAGCAGGGCAAUCACCGUGUUUUACUACUGUGUUGUCUCCCAGUUAUUCUCUGUGUUCAGAAAUAACAUUGGUCACAUCGCUGCCCCCGAGCCUUGUCCUCAGUGGAGUUUGCACCAGUGUUUUCCAAGCAAAUAAGUGAAAGGGGAAGGAGGGCUGCACUCGGACUUGCUGAUAGAAGGGAAAGCCGUUGUGCGCAGGGAUGGCUCAGCACCAAGGCAGUGAAUUUGCCAAGGUCACCGAAAGCAGCAGCUCGCAGAGGAGCCCGGUGCCAAGCAGCAGAGAUUCCUGAGCUCUGCAAACAAGCAGCUGCUUGAUCCUACACCCUCCGUAUUUUGUUAGGAACGAGAAAAAGAGCCCCCGUUCUGUGCAGGACGGACAUUUUGCUGCCAAGAAAGUGCCACCUACUGGAGCUGGCCCGGCAGGAACGUAUGAGAACGGCAAACAAACCCAGAAGUAAUGCUGGAAAAAUUACUUUUCUCCCCCCUUAAAAAACAACCCGAAGAGAUACAAAGCUCCACACUUACAGUGCCCCCAGCAGCAGCCCCCUCUGAUCACAGCCCUCUGUCCCUCGAUCCCCCGUGGAGGACCGGCGCUGGCGGCUGGGGGGAUAUGCCGUUUUAGGGUUCAAAAGGAGAGACUCACCGAUGCUGAGCAGCCCCUCGUGUCCCCAGAUGGUCCCCUGGGCUCCUCUCGCUCCUGUCCCAGAUAGCCGUGCCCUCCUAGCGCAAUCCUGCUGCCAUUCUCCGGCAGCCCGGCUCUUCUGCUUCACUUCGUGCCCCAGGGAUGGAGGAGGGAGACCACCUGGAGCCCCGACCUGGGGGUCCCGCCGCCUCCACCUCCCCGCUGCCCUUUCGUCCCCGUGCCACUCGCCCCAGUUGUCUGCGAGCAGGUGACAGAGGUUUCUUGGCAGAGGAGAGACGAGGGGAGGGAUGUGGAGGCAGCGAGAGGUGGAGCUGGGACCCGGAGCAACAGGUUACUGAAUAACUAGGAGCCGGCGGCCCCAGGGAGCUGGGCAGUGGGCCUUCGCCGUGCGAAAACCGAGGCGGGGGGGACGUGUGAAACGUCAGGUUUUUCUCGCCCGAGAACAUUUCGUGCCCCAGGGGGAGGCAGAGGAAGGCGGGGGUGAUGAAGGAGAGCGUUGAGCCGGGUUUUCCAUCGCCGGUGAGGGAGGGGACGCGGUGCCCGGUGGGGGGAACAAGGCAGCUUUUGUGCAGCCCUGCUGCUCGCGGGUUGUUUUCCGCCAGCUUCGCUCCUGCCUGCUCUCACCGCCCUGGUGUGUGCUGAAACAGCUGGGACAGAUGCCCCGACACGGACAGAGGGCAAAACAUCCUCCCCGACGGCCCCAGAGCAGAGCGGGGUGAGGAUAGGAGCCCCGCCGGGGUACCCUGCUGGGGAGGGGGCUGUGAUCCCUGAACCUCCCUUUGGGAGAAUGGAGGCGAAGCAAUUGCCGUAGCUCAGGAGGGGAAUGAAGGGCUUGCUGGCAUCAGGCAAGGUUUGGAGGCACUGUGCCCAUCCAUCCAUCCCUUGGGUUGCCACCACACUGUAGCAAUGAUGGCAGAGCUGAUGGUGCGGUUUCGAGCUCAGUCUCCCGUGCGGGCAGACUGCUGCUCGCAAAGGGCGCCCUGUUUCAUCUGCCUGAAGACUUGGUUUUAAAGUGUUGAUUAAAGGGAUGGGAUUAGCUCACUGAGCUGAUGGCCACGCUGGAAAAUGUCACAGCACCGAGGAGAGGAAGCUGUCAGAUGCUGUCAGAUCCUGCACCAGUGCAAACCAAAAGGCCUGCUGCACUGCUACGGCUGCGGGACUGCUGGGCUGGGCUCGCUGUCCCAGGGUGCAAACAGCUCGUUGGAGGGAUUCACUUGCAGAAGCUGUUUCAUGCUAAGGCACCUCAUUACCUGGCAGUUUCGGCUCCAUGGUCAUUACAAAGAUAGGCACGAAGUGCUGUGCCCUGUAGGAGAUCUCAAAGUGCUGAGCAGAGGAGGGAACUUUUCUUCUGGGCAGGGAAGAAAACCACAAAUGAGCUCAUUACAUCUUCCCUGCAACACCUGGCGCUGGUCAGAGCAACCACCAUACUGCUGCACUGCUGCCUGCACUCCGGACUCCUCUGCUCAGAUCCCACAGAGCUUUGGACCAACCCAGCCCUAUCGCUCACAGUAUCUGAGCGUGACAUCCCAGGAGGCCAAUGUGCUCCUCGGGAUCAGCCUUUUAAAUCAGGUUGGCGGCAGACAUCCCUGUGAUGGCUUGAGAACAAAGGUUUCUCCCUCGCAGAGCAAACAACACCCAAACUGAGCUCCUCAAAACGUGGCUUCCUCGUUUUUCAUGCCGUUUCCAUCCAACUUGCUCAUCCUGUUUCAGAAGGGCUGGGCCUCGUAAUUAAAAGCUCCACCAAUCUUACGUCUGGCAAAUGUCAUCAAUGACUUUACGAUGACUUUUCUACCUCUACUCAUGCUGAGAUUCUGUAUUCUGUCUGCAGUGAGCACCGUGGCGCAUACACAGAGGCUGCAACUUGAAGCUGACACGUGUGACUCCACCACCUCCAUCCAGAAUGAUGAAUGCUUAAAGAUUCUAUUCCCCUGAAAAGGCACAGUGAUAACAUGACAUACCCAAGUACAACCGCAGCGCCUCAAGAAUGGCCAUGAUGCAAAGCAAUGCAAGAUCGGGAGCCAAAAAACCAUCUGG